UACAGAGACCUCAAGCGUUAUCCGGAAUCAUUGGGCGUAAAGCGUACCGAUAGGUGGUUUACAAAGUCAGAGGUGAAAUCUCAAGGCUCAACCUUGAGUCUGUCCUUUGAUACUUGUAAACUAGAGGGGCAAAGAGGAAGCUGGAACGAACGGUGUAGUAGUGAAAUGCGUUGAUAUCGUUCGGAACACCAAUAGCGUAGGCAAGCUUCUGGGUGCCACCUGACACUGCUAGGACGAAAGCGUGGGGAGCGAAUGGG
RNAcentral lists this ribosomal RNA (257 nucleotides) under uncultured bacterium. RNAcentral describes it as "partial 16S ribosomal RNA". It matches the Rfam family "Bacterial small subunit ribosomal RNA", at positions 524 to 776 of the family's 1533-position model. The record is from RNAcentral.